GAGGAUAUCCAUCAGUCAUGAAUUUCUCAAAUCAAUUCCGUGAUAAUAGUUUUUCUAGCCCUGCACUCCCUGUUGAUGCUGCUCAAAUGGACGUGAUAAGAAAUAGCUACCUUUCCACAACUUACUCUUUUCCAGGCAACUCUGGUAGGUCUCUAGGGACUAUGCAGCAAUCUAAUGGAAGUGUUUCAGUCACAUAAGUAUGAUUGGUGAGUUGCUAUUUUCUUUGCACGGGUGAAAAUCGACAUGACAUUUCCCAAUUUAUGAAUUAGAGGGUUCAUUGUUGUCAUUUUGGUAUUUCAUGUAUCUGUUUUAACUUUCAAACCACAUUCUUGUCACAUUGAAAUUGUGACAGGAUAAUGAAAUGUUCAUUCUAAUUCUUUUUCAUUGUAUAGUAAUUUAUUUUUGAUGGAAAGAAAGUCAUGUUUCUGUAUGUGCUAAACCUUGAGACUAAUUCCAAUGAUCAUUAUUAGUAAAAAUGGCAGGAAAAAUAUAUUGUAUUGAUACAGGUAACUAAGAUAAAGUUCAGGAGGAAGAAAAUUACUGGUAUCAACUCAAAGAAUCUGGUUGGAGCUUAUGUAAAGUCAGAUCUCAAGACAGAAAGGACAAUCGGUAGUGAGCAUGAAGCUAGAGAAUUGUACCAUUUAGAUGGUGGUGGUUCACAAUGUGUUUACGCAUGACACUUUCACCUCUACAAUGGCAUUGUCAGUUGGGCCAUCCAUCUCUUCCUGUCUCAAGAAGCUAGUUCCUAGUUUAGUGUCUAUUACUAAGUUACAACAUUAGUCAUGUCAGUUUGGCAAGCAUAGUUAAGUGCCAUUUGUUCCAACUUCCAAGAGAAAAUAAUAGAGUGUUGAGUCCUUUUGUUCUUGUCCAUUAUAAAGUUUGGGGUCUAAAUUGUGUUAAAUCAUACAAUAGGUUUAAAUAUUUUUUUGCAUUUAUUGAUGAUUAUUCAAGAGUGACUUAGAUUUACUCAAUGAAAGCUCAUUCAG
This is a non-coding RNA of Nelumbo nucifera (sacred lotus), 986 nucleotides long. NCBI's taxonomy places the organism in Eukaryota, Viridiplantae, Streptophyta, Magnoliopsida, Proteales, Nelumbonaceae. The record is from RefSeq and is a predicted model, not a curated record.